CUGCUUUUAAGAUGAAAUUGUUCGAAGUACAGGGACGGCCCAAAACUGUGCAUUUUCGUCGUCGAAAAGGCAUUAUAAUGCAAUUGGAAAAGCCUAACUUUAUGGAGCUGUCUUGUAAUGCAGUAACUGUGCAAGUCAAGCAGGGCAAUGUUAUGGAAGAUACUGUUGAUAUUAUUGUGAAUACUGUUGACCCACAACUCAAUAUGGGGGUGCUUGGCAAGCAUUUAGUAAAAGCUGGAGGUAACGAUAUCAAGAAAGAACUACAAACUAAAAAGAGACAUGCACAG
Long non-coding RNA from Lingula anatina, 287 nucleotides. The record is from RefSeq and is a predicted model, not a curated record. NCBI's taxonomy places the organism in Eukaryota, Metazoa, Brachiopoda, Lingulata, Lingulida, Lingulidae.